Molecule: transfer RNA, 123 nt
Filed under: Candidatus Nitrososphaera gargensis Ga9.2
Lineage: Archaea; Thermoproteati; Nitrososphaerota; Nitrososphaeria; Nitrososphaerales; Nitrososphaeraceae
Rfam family: tRNA
About the family: Transfer RNA (tRNA) molecules are approximately 80 nucleotides in length. Their secondary structure includes four short double-helical elements and three loops (D, anti-codon, and T loops).
Source: Rfam by way of RNAcentral
GCGGGGGUCGCCAAGCCCGGUCAACGGCGUGAGAUCAAAUUCUGACACGAUGCUCAGAUGUUGCAGUCUGACUGGGACACCUCAUUCCUUAGGGAUUCGUGGGUUCAAAUCCCACCCCCCGCA